RNAcentral lists this ribosomal RNA (497 nucleotides) under uncultured bacterium. RNAcentral's name for it is "partial 16S ribosomal RNA". It matches the Rfam family "Bacterial small subunit ribosomal RNA", at positions 28 to 507 of the family's 1533-position model. The record is from RNAcentral.
GAUGAACGCUGGCGGCGUGCCUAAUACAUGCAAGUCGAGCGAACGGACGAGAAGCUUGCUUCUCUGAUGUUAGCGGCGGACGGGUGAGUAACACGUGGAUAACCUACCUAUAAGACUGGGAUAACUUCGGGAAACCGGAGCUAAUACCGGAUGAUAUUUUGAACCGCAUGGUUCAAAAGUGAAAGACGGUCUUGCUGUCACUUAUAGAUGGAUCCGCGCUGCAUUAGCUAGUUGGUAAGGUAACGGCUUACCAAGGCAACGAUGCAUAGCCGACCUGAGAGGGUGAUCGGCCACCCUGGAACUGAAACACGGUCCAGACUCCUACGGGAGGCAGCAGUAGGGAAUCUUCCGCAAUGGGCGAAAGCCUGACGGAGCAACGCCGCGUGAGUGAUGAAGGUCUUCGGAUCGUAAAACUCUGUUAUUAGGGAAGAACAUAUGUGUAAGUAACUGUGCACAUCUUGACGGUACCUAAUCAGAAAGCCACGGCUAACUACGUG